This 45-nucleotide transfer RNA is filed under the name Parachtes ignavus. RNAcentral describes it as "tRNA-Arg". The record is from RNAcentral. Lineage: Eukaryota; Metazoa; Arthropoda; Arachnida; Araneae; Dysderidae.
UGUAUUAAUAAGUGCUUAAUUUCGACUUAGGUUUAGGUAAAUUUA